CCGCUCCCUUCUCUCGUCACUUUUCCGCGGGAGCCAACAGCUCGGCUCCCGGGAACCGCUCGUUUCCAACACCCGCACUAACGUCCUGUUCAAGUUUUGGCUCGGAAAACACCGCGGGGCUUGCGGCUAGCGCGCCACCUGCCGGUGACACAGUCCUCCGGGGGACCCCGCUCCGCCAACACACGCCUCAGACGCCCAAAAUUCCACCUCUGCAGAGUCACUCCUUGGUUUGGCAGCGCGCCCUGGGAAGGGUGACACACACUACUAGGAGUUUUGCAGACCUGUCCUUACGUCCUGGGCUCGGGACCUGGAGAAAGUGGGAUGAGUCUCCACUUGACAAGUGGAGAGCUCCCGACGCUGAGGACAAGCUUACACUGCAAGGUCUGACUCCCUACAAGCAGUGCAGGUUUUGGAGGAGAAGAAAAUGAUUAUCAUCGGUACCUUCUUUUUUCUCCUUAGUACUGGGAAUUGAACUGAACCCUGCAGACCUCCAGAUGCGAGGCAACUGUUCACCCCUCAGCUACGUCCCCAGACCUUUUUCCAAUUUUAAGACAGGGUCUCACCGUUUUCCAAACUGGUAAAGGUCUGUUCUGAUUUCAUUUGGUAGUGGAGUCUGGAGACAACGCAUAACCGAGAAAAUGGAAGGAAAAGAUGGAAAGCAGAUGCGCCUCUUGAUAAGCAGCUGAGGGAAAUGUAUUUGGUGUCUGCCACAUCUCUGCACCUUUCAGAUAACUUUUGUGUGUCAUUGAUCCUAGCAAGAAUCCAUCUGCCUGGCGACUUGGGAAACAAAGGUAAAGGUUUCCUGGGAUGAGUCUUCUCCCGGCUGGCUCUCACUGCCCUGCAUCUCAAACUCCAGACCACUGAAGGAAACAAGACCGAGACCCCUGACCCUGGGUCCAAUCAGCCUUCAGAGUUUCUGUUUGCUAUGGGAUAUCACCCCAUCGUUUAUAACAGCAUCUGAGGAAGAGAAUUCACAGUCAUUUUCUGUUAGUAAAUUGCCUCUCUGAAAAACAAACAAACAAACAAAAAGGCUCGCACCUCCAUCAACAUCAGUUACCUCCGUAGACAAGGUCGCUCUGCUCUCCGGUUCACUCAGGAUCAUUAUUCUCAUCAUCCUGAGAGAAAGAGAAAGAAAGAUAGAGAAGUGCAGGUGAACUCAGAAGACAACCGCUGAGAGUCUGUUUCCUGUGAGGAUCAAACUCAGUCAGGCUUCCAAGGCAAGCACAGUUACUGAGUCUUCUUGUCAGCCCUCUCUCAAGAGUCUGCAAGUGUGUUUUAUCUACAUGUAAUAGCUGCACCAUUUGUGGGGGUGCAGUGUGCCACCUCAUAAGUGAUGAUUAGAUCAGCGUGAUUGGCUCAGCCAUCGCUCGUCUCCAUCCAGAGCGUUUACAAUCCUGUCUCCUAGCUGUUGAAUUCGAUACAUUGUUGUCAGGCACCGUUAUCCUCGCCUGCUGUUCAAAGCAGUGCCAGUUCGUCCUCCUAUCCAGCUGCACCUGUUCUUAACCAUCUCUCUACAUCCCAUCCUCCCUCGUGUCUGCCCCAGGCUCUGGUAACAGCUGUCCUACUCUGUGCUCUCGGGAGAGGCACUCUUUAACCUCUACACAUGUCACCGUAUCAGUUCUUCCAACAGCCAAAACAUGGUUAACCCAUGACCACUUUGGAGCAGAAAUAACUUUGGCCUCAUAGUCAUGGCAGUGGUACCGAGCAAUAAGUGAUAACUAGGUCUAUGGGAACAGUAAGGGGACUGCUACCACACCCUAGAAAAAACGGGAGUAUGUCAUGGGAUCUUAGCCUGGAAUUCUAGUCACCCCCAUACAACUUCCCUAAAGUCACCACUCAUGAAGUAGGACCUUUUGGUGAUGAAGCUGUCUUUGAGUCACCCAAGCUCCCGUAAGUAACCCCUCACCUGUGCUCCUAUAAUAAAUAAACCAGUAACCUCAUUGGUUUACUAA
This 1952-nucleotide long non-coding RNA is filed under the name Rattus norvegicus (Norway rat). RNAcentral describes it as "long non-coding RNA NONRATT013602". The record is from RNAcentral. Lineage: Eukaryota; Metazoa; Chordata; Mammalia; Rodentia; Muridae.